UUACGGCCAUAUAGCAUCGAAAUACCUGUUCGAUUACCGAAGUUAAGCAACGUCGAGCCUGGUCAGUAUCUAGAUGGGUGACCUCGUGGGAAUACCAGGUGCUGUAAG
Molecule: non-coding RNA, 108 nt
Organism: Acanthosepion pharaonis
Lineage: Eukaryota; Metazoa; Mollusca; Cephalopoda; Sepiida; Sepiidae
Source: the annotation of a GenBank genome assembly